Molecule: ribosomal RNA, 496 nt
Filed under: uncultured bacterium
Lineage: Bacteria
Description: bacterial SSU rRNA
Rfam family: Bacterial small subunit ribosomal RNA
Source: RNAcentral
UAGUCCACACCGUAAACGAUGAGAGCUAGUUGUCUGCAGGCAUGCCUGUAGGUGACGCAGCUAACGCAUUAAGCUCUCCGCCUGGGGAGUACGGUCGCAAGACUAAAACUCAAAGAAAUUGACGGGGACCCGCACAAGCGGUGGAGUAUGUGGCUUAAUUCGAUGCAACGCGAAGAACCUUACCCAGACUUGACAUGCAUUUCUAAAGCGGUGAAAGCCGUGGAGCGGAGCAAUCCGCAACUUGCACAGGUGCUGCAUGGCUGUCGUCAGCUCGUGUCGUGAGAUGUUCGGUUAAGUCCGGCAACGAGCGCAACCCCUGUCUUUAGUUGCCAGCACGUGAUGGUGGGGACUCUAGAGAGACUGCCGGUAUAAAAACCGGGAGGAAGGGUGGGGGACGACGUCAAGUCAGUAUGGCCCUUACGUCUGGGGGCUGCACACGUACUACAAUGCCCAGUACAAUGAGAACCGAGACCGCGAGGGUGGGAGGGAAAUCUAC